GUGGAAGAAAGUCAGGCUCCUCUGUCUUCGUAUUUGACCUUGGUACAGUUCCAAAUAACACCAAAGCUGUUAUCAGAUACACAUUAACCCUGAUAUAUGGAUAAUUUAGAUGAUUUAUUAUGCUUAUGGCUCACUUGUAUUCCACCUCUCUCCAUCUCCUCCAAACCCAAUCAUGGUAUCUGUGUGGAGAAAAAUCAAUGGAUUUCUGCGCUGGUAAUUAGUUUGGGCCACAAAGAGUUGUGACAAUCCUGAGCCUGGACACGCCUGUCAAUACCGACUGCAGAGACUGGAAAGAGGAGCCAGCACCAUAUCUUCUUCCUUCCCCUGAAGAGGAGCAUAAAACCCGGGAAUUGACUAUAUCAUCAACUAUUGUGAAAUAAGGACUUCCUACAGACUUGCAAGGAAGGACUCAAAGCUCACAAUGUGACCUUGAAGAAGCCAG
This is a long non-coding RNA of Oxyura jamaicensis (ruddy duck), 442 nucleotides long. RefSeq lists it as uncharacterized. The transcript has 3 exons. NCBI's taxonomy places the organism in Eukaryota, Metazoa, Chordata, Aves, Anseriformes, Anatidae. The record is from RefSeq and is a predicted model, not a curated record.